RNAcentral lists this long non-coding RNA (6460 nucleotides) under Xyrichtys novacula (pearly razorfish). Lineage: Eukaryota; Metazoa; Chordata; Actinopteri; Labriformes; Labridae. The record is from RNAcentral.
GAAUAUUAAAGCUAUCAUAUCUGCAGUACAAAUAUAUAAACAUUGUGUGCAUUUUAAAACACUCAUAGCAUUAUUUUACAAAUAUAAACAUUGGGUAAACCUGUGACAUAAUUUAGCCAGAAUUCGUUUCGGGGGACAAGGGACCAUGGUUCUGCGAACUUCACAUGGGAUAAGGACACUCUGUGGCCACAAAAAGAAAAAGGUAGGAGAUUUCCUAAAAUUUGGUUGAGAGUUCUUUUCCCUGUGAGGUGGUGCGGACUACUGCUCUCUGUCCUCUUCGAAUCAGUUGGUUGUGUCAGACCGCCUCACGCUGCUACAUGCGUGAGACUAUGUGAGAAGCUAUAGGCUGGGUGCAGGAAAGCACUGGCCAGUAGCGUGGGGAGACAGCCGGGCCCGGGUUGUGAUGUGUUUUUUAGGCUGAAUGCCUGGUGAUAAAAGAUUCUGGUUAAUUUUUGGGAUAACAAGGGGAGUGGCAGGCACGAGUGUGUCUGUCCAUUGUUGAACUGUGAGUAUGGGCAAUUUUUUGUUUUAUGAGCUCUGACAGAUACAGAUUGGCUUGAUGAGCAGGAGAUAGAAAAAGAGGUCAAUAAGGGUAGGCCGAAAAGCCUAUUCAGGGAUCCCAAUUGAACAAGCACGUCCCAUAUCUCCUGACCGAUUGUAGAAGAAUCACAUAAAUUGGAAAAAUCACACAAAUUGGAAAAAUUGAAGAAAUCAAAACAAGAAUUAAAAUAGAAGACUGCUGACUGACUCCAGUGACUGACUUUGACUUCAAACACGUGUGAAAGGGUAUACCAUUGUGUGAUGAAUAAGUGAAGUGUGUGGGUUGAUUGGAUGGUUGUGUGUGUCUGUUUUGUUCUGUGUCAACUAAGUUCUCUGGCAGAACUGUUCACAGUCAGACUCUGCACCUGUGUGUGUGUUAUGUUAGUCAAAGAUUGCUGUGUUCCACACUUGUGUUUAUUUCAUAGUUGUUUAUGUGAAUACUGUGCUCAUUGCGGUCAUGUUAUCAGUUGAGACAUAGAAGGUUAAAUACUCCUGGGAAAGAGGUUCUGUUCCCAGUACCAUGAUGAACACUCCUGAUAUAAAGGUUUUAGCUUAUGCUUAAAUAUUAUGAUGGUUUUUUGUUGUGAACACGUCUUAUGCUACUUAACAAAUUUUCUGUGUUAAAGCUGCUGAAAUAAUGUUUGUAAAAGCAUAAAAGAUACAAAAAGGGAAAAAGCAAUGAGGUACCACAAGUGCAAAACUUCUAAAAAACUUCAAAUCUAAGAGUUGCUUCUAUACAUCUGCUGUUUUUGCCAGAACACUGUGUUUUUAAAAUAUUAUUGAAGCUGUUAAUAUCAAUACUGACUAUUGCUAUAGAACUGCAGUUGAGGCAAAAGCUUUAUACUGUGUAUUUUUGGGGAAUUUUACAAAACUGCUGAUCAAGUUUUAAUGUGUGUGCUCAGUUGAAUAAUAAAGUUUACAAAAAGCACGACCAGAAAGGGAAGAUUAGAUACACGUUGGUAGGGUGUAAAUAUACUGAACACUUAAAUGAUAUCCAAAAACUUACAAAGAAAUGGGAACAUUGAAUCAAGGGGUUUGAAUCUUUAUGACCUAGGGGAGGCACAUCUAAUGUGGCUGUGUGUGAGGAUUUGGAGCAGCGAAUCUAAGACCAUAAACAUAAAGAAAAGUAAAACACGCAAAAACAAGAAGAUAUGGAACUAAAAGGACCGGACAUGUUUAACUCAGCACUUAGAUUUUGGUCCUUUUUAUACUUUAGAGUCCAAUUUUAGAUUUUAAGUCAUACUGGGACCUUUUUGAACCUGAUUUUAACGUUCUUCUUGUGUAUUUGCUCUUUAAAUGCAUUACUUUUCUCUUUGUAAAUCAUGCUCUGAUCUUCUGAACUAUUAAAUAAGAAUAGAAUAAAAACUAAAUUUUUUCUAUCUUAGGUUGCCUUUAAAAUUAUUUAUUUAUUAUUAUUAUUAGUUUAUCUCUUUUGAAUUUCCAAAUGAUUUAAAAUCAUUGCUAUUUUUUCUCCCAUAUGUUUUGAAAAGGAAAUUGACAGUUUUAGUGAAAUUUUGAUCCUGUUUGACCCUGAGGCUAGACUUAAAUCCAGAUUAUGCCCUUUGCUGUGGUUGAGUUUGACACCCCUGGCCUAGAUUAUGUUCACUUGGAAAUGCACUGAUAGUAUGUUUUCAAUCUUAAUAAAUGGCACACAGGCUAGCUAUGUGCUGUGGAAAACCACACACCUUGUUGGGCUGGUUGCCAGACUACCACAAACUGAACAAGGGGCAGGGAGAUGGAUACGAGUUUUUGAGGAUGAACUGUAGGAAAAUGUUGACUACACCAGACAUGAAAGCACUCUUGGCUAAACUGCUGGGAACUAAGACGAUGGAGGAGUUUCUGCGCAAGGCAAAACAAGGUUGAAUGACGAAUCCCAUGACUGAUGGGAGUGAGUUCAAUGCAUAUUGUGAUGUGAGGUGGAGCGGAAGUUGAAACAGCCACCUCUAAGGGGACACGGCAAAAGAGACCCAGCGAUGCAGACCGUGCAGACGCUAACUGCGGUAAAACCUGUGACAGUAACCUGUUUAAUCACCUGUUGUGAAUGUUUAUCCUCAGACAGAACCCUGCUCCAUAGAGAGGAUAUAUCCCGGCAGGGGGAGAGAGUGGAAUUCUGACGGACGUGUGACGUCUAAAGACCUGCUGGGGAUGGGAUCAUACCAGACAUUUUUGACAACUGCCCAGACCAGGGACGUCUCUGGCUGGAUCGGUGGUGGGGGGCCCCAGCCCAGACAAUGUGAAAGUGGUGGCUUACUACAGUGUGAUUUUUGUGGAUGAUGGAAAAAGUUAGUUGUUAGUUUUAAUUUUAACCCUGUUGACCUUAUAGACCGAAAGGACCUAUGUAGAAGUAACAUUCAAAUUUGGUGCUCACCGCGAGGUGUGUAAGUAGACAGUUAUGGUUUAUAGUUUUAAGUAAAUAUCGUGACAUUAGCAUUGUAACAUCCCUGUUCUGUUAGUUUAAUACUGAUAAAUCUAAAUGCAGCUGUGCUGAAUCCACAUACACUCCUCACAGAUGUGCCACCUAAUGUAAAAGUAAUAGGAAGCUAUCAGGGGUCAAUAAGGCCACAGAAAAUGGUUUAGAGUCAAAUAACUAGUUUUUGUACCAGUAGUAUUAACAAACAAACUAGGAUCUGACUUUCACAGUGAUUCACACUGUGAAAGGGGGGAGAUGAUGAGACAAUUAAAACGACAUUCUUAGAAUAUGCUGACGAGAGCUGAUAAACUCUUGGGUCAUUGUGAUAUGCGUUUUGUUAGAUGAAUUGAAGAGAACAAUAAAACGGAAGUGAGACACUUUUCCAGUUCCAGAGAGACGGUUUUAGACAUCUAUUUAUAGGCAAUGUGGACAUGAUUAAAACUGCCAAGGCAUAUGUUACAUGUUUGUAAUGAUGACGGGGUCAGUCGAUGGAUAGAAGCAACACCAUCAAAAGAUCUUGGAGUCAAAAUAAAUCUGUCAUUGCAUGAUUUGGUACAUCAUUUUGGGGAAGAAAGUUAAUCUCUCAAGUAAAUAUCUGAUCAGAGAAGUUGCACUAACACUAACCUAUAGGAAGAUGCUUUGCUACUUGCGCUUAUGAGCUUUCACAAUCAAAAGCACUGAGAUAAAUCUUCCACUGCAUGAUUGACUAACUUACAAAGCUAUGCUUUACUGCGGCUAAAUAAUUAAGGUUUUCGCUUGAGCAGCUGGAAAUUAGUGAAUUAAAUAGAUGAGGCAUCUAACUACGAUGCAAAGAUCUAUCGGUUAGCAGGAGGAGUGCCAAAAUCUGAUCCCAGUCAAGAGGUGGAGGCCAGUCGAGCCAGAGCACCAGGUGUACAUCACCGUCCUUUGAGGAGGGUGGCAAAAAGAACGAGGAGAAGACCUGAGCACUUUGGUCCUGGUGAACUCUACUUCAGUGCAGGAAGUGGCACGAACCACGACGGGAAGGACCGUACACGGUGGUGCGAGCUACUCCCACAGCAGUCCUGGUCGAAAGGAGCGGGACGUGGUAUCACCUGUCACGCUGCACGAAGGUUCCAGGCAAAACCAAGGGCGGUAUUGAGUUGAAAAACAAAGAUGAAAAACAUGACAUUGUGGUGUGUGCUGGUGGUAAUGAACUCUCUUCUAUGGAUGCCUGUAGAAGCAGUGGAGCUAGAGACUCAAAGGGGAAAACAGAGCACCCCGGGGACCAGAGCCACGCCAGAGACCAACCCGCACGACAGAGGAGACAGAGCAUCUGAAUCAGAUGAGUAUGAUGCAACCACACAGACACCAAUCCAUGACGUGCUAAACUCUGAGCCAGCACUCUCAGCUGAGCUCAAACACAUAAACAUUCCAUACCAAAACAUAACUGUUAACUGUAAAAUUACGUGGGUAUUGUCAUGGUUUCCUGAAGCUAAUAUGAGCGAACCGUUCUUAACCAGACCUGUUUGGUUUGAAAAUCCAGAGCAAACAUUAGAUCAAACAUGUGAAAACAUAACUAUGACCAGACCGAGUAUGCAUUUCUUUCGCAAGUCAAACUGUUGCAGUAGCUGGCAGUUACUGGAUGUGUGGAGACAACAUUGCGCGUAACACACUUCCACCAAAAUGGAUUGGACUCUGUACAUUAGUGCGAAUGAAAGUGUCAGUUGUUGUGUGUAUGACGGCGGCGAGGAGAUCCUUAAAAUCCAGGAAGAAACAGCCAAAUUGAGCCGCCAUAAAAGGCAGAUUGACGAAAAGGUGUACAUCAAUAGUAUAGGAGUGCCAAUAGGAAUUCCAGAGGAGUUUAAAGCUCAGGAUGAGAUUAGAGUAGGUCUAGAGUCGAUUCUCCCUUGGAUCACCACUAAUAAAAAUGUCCAAUGGAUAAAUUACAUUUAUUACAACCAACAGAGGUUUGUUAAUGCGACAUCUGAGAUCCUGAGCGCUCUCGGUAUUCAAUUACACGCAGCAAGUAUAAUGGCCCAACAAAAUAGACAGGUUUUGAAUUGGCUGACAGCGGAUAGGGGAGGAGUAUGUCACAUGUUCGGGAAACAUUGUUGUACCUUUAUUCCAAAUAACACAGCCCCUGAUGGUAUAUUUUCUGUGGCAAUGGGGAAGCUUACAGAACUCAGAGUUGAGCUCAGGGAGAGUGCGGGCAAGGGGGGACUGUCAUGGGAUUGGUUAGACCAAAUUUUAGGAAAAUGGGGAGCCGUUUGGGCUAAGAUAGGACUCAGUGCAUUAGCAGUCCUAAUUCUAAUUUCCUUUUUGACAUGUUGCAUCAUCCCCAUCCUGAGGAGGCAGUGUCUGCGGGCUCUGGACAGACAGAUGAUUGUGGCGACUGGUCUCCAAAAAGCUCAAAUGUUGGACUUGCUGACGCCGUCCCAAAUGGCACAACUCUGCUUGGACGACAGCAAGGCGGGAAACGGGGACUAUACGGACUUGUACCCGAACCCUGCCUGUGUGGGUGACUAUGAUGAGGACGAACUGAGUCAAGUGUAAGGUAAACAAGAAGCAGAGGUGCAGCAGCAGCGAGCGAGCAAAAGGAAAAGCAAAUGGGACGGCGGAGCAAAUGGACUAUCAUAUCACUACACGCAUAUUCUGUUACUAUCCAGGUGUAUUCUGCAUAAUGGACUAUCAUACCAAUACACACAUAUCCUGCAGUUAUCCAUGUGUACUCUGCAUACUCACAUCAUUUACACAUACCCAUUCCAGGUAAAUGGAAACAGGUAAAGGAAAUGGUUAAUCAUUUUUUGAGCAAUAAAACAUGUGGUUGAUUGUCAUGUAGAGUGGGUCAGUGAAAAGCUGUUAAGAUUUAGAAGGUUCACGGUAAAGGUCGCCAGCGGGAGGGGCCGCAGGGGAAUUUCCUGCUCAAAGCAGCCAGCAGGUUUUCGCCCCUGCCAGAUGUGAACCGAGGGAUCUAAGUGUUGUAUUUGUGAAAAUGUAACAUUCGUGAUCACAAGCAUGAGUUGGAUUGGUUUGAAAACAUACAUAUGCAUCUGUAAUCAAUCAAGUAGUACCAUAUCACAUAACGCUGUCAUAACUCAUUCAUGUAACGUAACUAAGGCUAAGACAAGAUAAGUGUGAAUCUCCAACGGCGUCAGUGAACUUGGUUAAUCUUGAAAAGAUUCAAAGGGGGGAUAUGUGGGGGAAAAUAACAGAUAUGUUUGGAUGUUUUGGGGGUUACCAUGAGGCAAGAAAACAGGAUAUGGGUGGAGUGGUCAGAUUGGGAUAAACUUCAUAUCAGGUCAUGGUGACCCUCUCUCAUGGUAGCUUAAUUGCAAUAACAGGAAAUCUGGCUCCAAAAGAUAGUGGCAGAGAAAGUCACGAAGGGGACUUUCGCACGCACAUUUGGCUAAAACUAAGGUCCCUGACGUCAAUGGAGGACUAUAAAAGAUAUGUGGAUUGGCUGUUUUUUGGUUCUGUCUGUUCGAUUGCUCAUGAGCUAUUGUUCGAUGCUGUGAUCGGAAUAAAAACCCCGCCGAGAGGCUGCCAGCU